This 245-nucleotide ribosomal RNA is filed under the name uncultured bacterium. RNAcentral describes it as "partial 16S ribosomal RNA". It matches the Rfam family "Bacterial small subunit ribosomal RNA", at positions 523 to 769 of the family's 1533-position model. The record is from RNAcentral.
AUACGGAGGAUGCGAGCGUUAUCCGGAUUUAUGGGUUUAAAGGGUGCGUAGUGGAGAGAUAAGUCAGUGGUGAAAUCCUGAUGCUUAACGUUAGGAUUGCCGUUGAAACUGUUUUUCUAGAGUGUGAUUGAGGCAGGCGGAAUGUGUGGUGUAGCGGUGAAAUGCAUAGAUAUCACGCAGAACUCCGAUUGCGAAGGCAGCUUGCCAAGCCACAACUGACACUGAAGCACGAAAGCGUGGGGAUC